RNAcentral lists this ribosomal RNA (458 nucleotides) under uncultured bacterium. RNAcentral describes it as "partial 16S ribosomal RNA". It matches the Rfam family "Bacterial small subunit ribosomal RNA", at positions 338 to 795 of the family's 1533-position model. The record is from RNAcentral.
CCUACGGGAGGCAGCAGUGAGUAAUAUUGGUCAAUGGGCGAGAGCCUGAACCAGCCAAGUCGCGUGAGGGAGUACUGCCCUAUGGGUUGUAAACCUCUUUUGUCGGGGAGCAAAAGCCGGACGUGUCCGGCUGUGAGAGUACCCGAAGAAAAAGCAUCGGCUAACCCCGUCCCAGCAGCCGGCGUAAUACGGAGGAUGCUAGGGUUUUCGGGAGUUAUUUGGUUAAAGGGGGGCGCAGGCGGAUUGUUAAGUCAGCGGGAAAAUCGUGGGGCUCAACCCCAUCCAGCCGUUGAAACUGGGGAUCUAGAGUGUGCGAGAGGUAUGCGGAAUGCGUGGUGUAGCGGUGAAAUGCAUAGAUAUCACGCAGAACCCCGAUUGCGAAGGCAGCAUACCGGUGCACAACUGACGCUCAGGCACGAAAGCGUGGGUAUCGAACAGGAUUAGAUACCCCAGUAGUC